GACCCCGUAGCUCAGUGGAUAGAGCGCUUGCCUACGAAGCAAGAAGUCGCGCGUUCGAGUCGCGCCGGGGUCGCCG
This 76-nucleotide transfer RNA is filed under the name Chloroflexi bacterium RIFCSPLOWO2_02_FULL_71_16. RNAcentral's name for it is "tRNA-Arg". It matches the Rfam family "tRNA". From Rfam's summary of the family: Transfer RNA (tRNA) molecules are approximately 80 nucleotides in length. Their secondary structure includes four short double-helical elements and three loops (D, anti-codon, and T loops). RNAcentral also lists the same sequence under 1 other name. Lineage: Bacteria; Bacillati; Chloroflexota. The record is from RNAcentral.